This 392-nucleotide unclassified non-coding RNA is filed under the name soil metagenome. RNAcentral's name for it is "partial contains 5.8S ribosomal RNA, internal transcribed spacer 2, and large subunit ribosomal RNA". The stretch from base 1 to 122 matches the Rfam family "5.8S ribosomal RNA", at positions 35 to 154 of the family's 154-position model. The record is from RNAcentral.
GAUGAAGAACGUAGCGAAAUGCGAUACUUGGUGUGAAUUGCUGAAUCCCGUGAACCAUCGAGUCUUUGAACGCAAGUUGCGCCCGAAGCCAUUAGGCCGAGGGCACGCCUGCCUGGGCGUCACACGUCGUUGCCCCCCCCAUCUACUCCUUCGGGAUUGCGGGGGGCGGAUGAUGGUCUCCCGUGCAACUCGUCGCGCGGUUGGCAUAAAUGCCAAGUCCUCGGCGACGCACGCCACGACAAUCGGUGGUUGCGAAACCUCGGUUGCCCGUCGUGUGCGGUCGUCGCGCAUCGAGGGCUCGAAAAAAUUGCCGGGCUCCGGCUCGGCUUUCAACGCGACCCCAGGUCAGGCGGGGUUACCCGCUGAAUUUAAGCAUAUCAAUAAGCGGAGGA